GCUAAACGCGAAGAACCUUACCAAGGCUUGACAUACACCAGAACACCCUAGAAAUAGGGGACUCUUUGGACACUGGUGAACAGGUGGUGCAUGGUUGUCGUCAGCUCGUGUCGUGAGAUGUUGGGUUAAGUCCCGCAACGAGCGCAACCCUCGUUCUAUGUUGCCAGCACGUAAUGGUGGGAACUCAUGGGAUACUGCCGGGGUCAACUCGGAGGAAGGUGGGGAUGACGUCAAAUCAUCAUGCCCCUUAUGUCUUGGGCUUCACGCAUGCUACAAUGGCCGGUACAAAGGGCUGCAAUACCGUGAGGUGGAGCGAAUCCCAAAAAGCCGGUCCCAGUUCGGAUUGAGGUCUGCAACUCGACCUCAUGAAGUCGAAGUCGCUAGUAAUCGCAGAUCAGCAACGCUGCGGUGAAUACGUUCCCGGGUCUUGUACACACCG
This 439-nucleotide ribosomal RNA is filed under the name uncultured bacterium. RNAcentral describes it as "bacterial SSU rRNA". It matches the Rfam family "Bacterial small subunit ribosomal RNA", at positions 954 to 1392 of the family's 1533-position model. The record is from RNAcentral.